AUCUAGAACUACCUAUUAUAAUUACUGGCUCAGAGGAUGGCACAGUUCGCUUGUGGCACUCUACAACCUACAGGCUUGAGAACACUCUUCAUUAUGGUCUUGAGCGAGUUUGGGCUUUAGGAUACAUGAAGGGGUCAAGAAGGUCUGUCGUUAGUUUAGCUGCUACGUCGGAUCUGAUGCUGUUUUCGCCGAUAUAUAGAUUUGUUUGUUGCCUCUUGUUUCACGUUCUUCCGGUCGAUCGCUUGCUCGAUCUGUGCCUGGACAUCAUCUCCAUGUCGCGGCUUCGUGAACGGAUC
Molecule: long non-coding RNA, 296 nt
Organism: Triticum dicoccoides
Lineage: Eukaryota; Viridiplantae; Streptophyta; Magnoliopsida; Poales; Poaceae
Exons: 4
Source: RefSeq, a predicted model, not a curated record